This 498-nucleotide ribosomal RNA is filed under the name uncultured bacterium. RNAcentral describes it as "partial 16S ribosomal RNA". It matches the Rfam family "Bacterial small subunit ribosomal RNA", at positions 28 to 507 of the family's 1533-position model. The record is from RNAcentral.
GACGAACGCUGGCGGCGUGCCUAAUACAUGCAAGUCGAACGAGAGCGACCGGUGCUUGCACUGGUCAAUCUAGUGGCGAACGGGUGAGUAACACGUGGGUAACCUGCUCAUCAGAGGGGGAUAACAUCCGGAAACGGAUGCUAAAACCGCAUAGGUCUUCGAGCCGCAUGGCUUGAAGAGGAAAAGAGGCGCAAGCUUCUGCUGAUGGAUGGACCCGCGGUGCAUUAGCUAGUUGGCGAGGUAACGGCUCACCAAGGCCGUGAUGCAUAGCCGACCUGAGAGGGUGAUCGGCCACAUUGGGACUGAGACACGGCCCAAACUCCUACGGGAGGCAGCAGUAGGGAAUCUUCCGCAAUGGACGCAAGUCUGACGGAGCAACGCCGCGUGAGUGAAGAAGGUUUUCGGAUCGUAAAACUCUGUUGUUAGAGAAGAACAAGUGCUAGAGUAACUGUUAGCGCCUUGACGGUAUCUAACCAGAAAGCCACGGCUAACUACGUG